Molecule: ribosomal RNA, 632 nt
Filed under: Salmonella enterica
Lineage: Bacteria; Pseudomonadati; Pseudomonadota; Gammaproteobacteria; Enterobacterales; Enterobacteriaceae
Description: partial 23S ribosomal RNA
Rfam family: Bacterial large subunit ribosomal RNA
Source: RNAcentral
AGACCCGAAACCCGGUGAUCUAGCCAUGGGCAGGUUGAAGGUUGGGUAACACUAACUGGAGGACCGAACCGACUAAUGUUGAAAAAUUAGCGGAUGACCUGUGGCUGGGGGUGAAAGGCCAAUCAAACCGGGAGAUAGCUGGUUCUCCCCGAAAGCUAUUUAGGUAGCGCCUCGUGAAUUCAUCUCCGGGGGUAGAGCACUGUUUCGGCUAGGGGGCCAUCCCGGCUUACCAACCCGAUGCAAACUGCGAAUACCGGAGAAUGUUAUCACGGGAGACACACGGCGGGUGCUAACGUCCGUCGUGAAGAGGGAAACAACCCAGACCGCCAGCUAAGGUCCCAAAGUCAUGGUUAAGUGGGAAACGAUGUGGGAAGGCCCAGACAGCCAGGAUGUUGGCUUAGAAGCAGCCAUCAUUUAAAGAAAGCGUAAUAGCUCACUGGUCGAGUCGGCCUGCGCGGAAGAUGUAACGGGGCUAAACCAUGCACCGAAGCUGCGGCAGCGACGCUUAUGCGUUGUUGGGUAGGGGAGCGUUCUGUAAGCCUGUGAAGGUGUGUCGUGAGGCAUGCUGGAGGUAUCAGAAGUGCGAAUGCUGACAUAAGUAACGAUAAAGCGGGUGAAAAGCCCGCUCGCCG